GAUGAACGCUGGCGGCGUGCCUAAUACAUGCAAGUCGAGCGAACAGACGAGGAGCUUGCUCCUCUGACGUUAGCGGCGGACGGGUGAGUAACACGUGGAUAACCUACCUAUAAGACUGGGAUAACUUCGGGAAACCGGAGCUAAUACCGGAUAAUAUAUUGAACCGCAUGGUUCAAUAGUGAAAGACGGUUUUGCUGUCACUUAUAGAUGGAUCCGCGCCGCAUUAGCUAGUUGGUAAGGUAACGGCUUACCAAGGCAACGAUGCGUAGCCGACCUGAGAGGGUGAUCGGCCCCACUGGAACUGAGACACGGUCCAGACUCCUAAGGGAGGCCGCAGUAGGGAAUCUUCCGCAAUGGGCGAAAGCCUGACGGAGCAACGCCGCGUGAGUGAUGAAGGUCUUCGGAUCGUAAAACUCUGUUAUUAGGGAAGAACAAAUGUGUAAGUAACUAUGCACGUCUUGACGGUACCUAAUCAGAAAGCCACGGCUAACUACGUG
This 497-nucleotide ribosomal RNA is filed under the name uncultured bacterium. RNAcentral describes it as "partial 16S ribosomal RNA". It matches the Rfam family "Bacterial small subunit ribosomal RNA", at positions 28 to 507 of the family's 1533-position model. The record is from RNAcentral.